GCGGACGUGGCGAAACUGGUAGACGCAAGAGACUUAAAAUCUCUCAGCCUUUGGCUAUACGGGUUCGACCCCCGUCGUCCGCACCA
This 86-nucleotide transfer RNA is filed under the name Paenirhizobium daejeonense. RNAcentral describes it as "tRNA-Leu". It matches the Rfam family "tRNA". Rfam says of the family: Transfer RNA (tRNA) molecules are approximately 80 nucleotides in length. Their secondary structure includes four short double-helical elements and three loops (D, anti-codon, and T loops). Further hydrogen bonds mediate the characteristic L-shaped molecular structure. tRNAs have two regions of fundamental functional importance: the anti-codon, which is responsible for specific mRNA codon recognition, and the 3' end, to which the tRNAs corresponding amino acid is attached (by aminoacyl-tRNA synthetases). tRNAs cope with the degeneracy of the genetic code in two manners: having more than one tRNA (with a specific anti-codon) for a particular amino acid; and 'wobble' base-pairing, i.e. permitting non-standard base-pairing at the 3rd anti-codon position. The record is from RNAcentral. Lineage: Bacteria; Pseudomonadati; Pseudomonadota; Alphaproteobacteria; Hyphomicrobiales; Rhizobiaceae. RNAcentral also lists the same sequence under 2 other names.